AUAGCAGAUGGAAGCAGACAUUUGAGGUUCACUACUAAAGCAUUAUGCUAUGUAUUUUCAACAUUUCAAUAUCCAAAAGUAAAGACAAAGGGACCAUUAAACAUAUUAUAGAAAAAAAUAACAUAUCAAUAUAUUAUACCGAAACUCCUAGGCAAAAAAUAUCACAGACAAAAAUAUCAAUACUAAAAUAAUUAUUCCAUAAAUAAUAUAUAG
Molecule: long non-coding RNA, 213 nt
Filed under: Elaeis guineensis (African oil palm)
Lineage: Eukaryota; Viridiplantae; Streptophyta; Magnoliopsida; Arecales; Arecaceae
Description: long non-coding RNA (EGUI_LNC008690)
Source: RNAcentral